This 526-nucleotide long non-coding RNA is filed under the name Pan troglodytes (chimpanzee). RNAcentral describes it as "long non-coding RNA NONPTRT010435". The record is from RNAcentral. Lineage: Eukaryota; Metazoa; Chordata; Mammalia; Primates; Hominidae.
CAGGGAAACACCGGGAUGAUGGCCAUCUGAAGACAGAGGCAAACAUUGGAGUGAUGCAAUGACAAGCCAAGGAAUGCCAAGGACUGCAAACCAUUGCCAGAAGCUAGGAACACUCAAGACAUUUGUGUACUCACUGCUCAAUCGAGGGAGGCCUUAUCCAGCUAUACUCAUUCUCAGAGGCAUUGCCUUCUGCACUGGAAAUGGAGUCCUUCAAGGCUACUAUCUGAUUUACUGUGCUGAAUACCCUGAUGGGUGGUACACAGACAUACGGUUUAGCUUGGGUGUCUUCUUAUUUAUUUUGGGAAUGGGAAUAAACAUUCAUAGUGACUAUAUAUUGCGCCAGCUCAGGAAGCCUGGAGAAAUCAGCUACAGGAUUCCACAAGGUGGCUUGUUUACGUAUGUUUCUGGAGCCAAUUUCCUCGGUGAGAUCAUUGAAUGGAUCGGCUAUGCCCUGGCCACUUGGUCCCUCCCAGCACUUGCAUUUGCAUUUUUCUCACUUUGUUUCCUUGGGCUGCGAGCUUUUCAC